CUACGGGCGGCUGUAGUGGGGAAUAUUGCGCAAUGGGCGAAAGCCUGACGCAGCAACGCCGCGUGAGUGAUGAAGGCCUUCGGGUCGUAAAGCUCUGUCGGGAGGGAAGAACACCUUCGGGUCUGACGGUACCUCCCGAGGAAGCACAGGCUAACUCCGUGCCAGCAGCCGCGGUAAUACGGAGUGUGCAAGCGUUGUUCGGAAUUACUGGGCGUAAAGCGCGCGUAGGCGGCUUGAUAAGUCAGAUGUGAAAUCCCUCGGCUUAACCGAGGAACUGCAUUUGAAACUGUCAGGCUUGAGUACGGGAGGGGGAAGCGGAAUUCCCAGUGUAGAGGUGAAAUUCGUAGAUAUUGGGAGGAACACCAGCGGCGAAGGCGGCUUCCUGGACCGAUACUGACGCUGAGGCGCGAAAGCGUGGGGAGCAAACAGGAUUAGAUACCCCGGUAGUC
RNAcentral lists this ribosomal RNA (449 nucleotides) under uncultured bacterium. RNAcentral's name for it is "partial 16S ribosomal RNA". It matches the Rfam family "Bacterial small subunit ribosomal RNA", at positions 339 to 795 of the family's 1533-position model. The record is from RNAcentral.